RNAcentral lists this long non-coding RNA (381 nucleotides) under Homo sapiens (human). RNAcentral describes it as "non-protein coding lnc-RASSF2-3:1". The record is from RNAcentral. Lineage: Eukaryota; Metazoa; Chordata; Mammalia; Primates; Hominidae.
UUCUAAAUACCAGCGAUUCAGAUACCCAAUCAUAGAGCUGCCCCUGUUUCCAGACAGUAGCCAAUUCAGAGCACAGCCUUGCUCCCUGGAACCCUUCUCAAAAUCAGCUAAUACAAGCCCCAAUCCUCUAAUUCUUUUAUAACAUCCUCCUACUAAGACACCCUAGAGUUCCCUGAGGUGUGUAUUUUUCUUGAUUACAAUGAGCAGCAAACCCAAUUUGUUCAACUCCUUGGAGGUCUUUAACUGAUAGGCAUUGACAGGUGGCUAUUAAGAAACACAUUCGCAGCCGGGCACAGUGGCUCAUGCCUCCAAUCCCAACACUUUGGGAGGCCAAGGCAAGUGGAUCACUUGAGCCCAGGAGUUUGAGACCAGCCUGGGCAA